Molecule: ribosomal RNA, 245 nt
Filed under: uncultured bacterium
Lineage: Bacteria
Description: partial 16S ribosomal RNA
Rfam family: Bacterial small subunit ribosomal RNA
Source: RNAcentral
GUGCAAGCGUUAUCCGGAUUUACUGGGUUUAAAGGGUGCGUAGGUGGUUAAUUAAGUCAGUGGUGAAAUCUUCAGGCUUAACCUGGAAACUGCCAUUGAUACUAUUUAUCUUGAAUACUUUGGAGGUAAGCGGAAUAUGUCAUGUAGCGGUGAAAUGCUUAGAUAUGACAUAGAACACCAAUUGCGAAGGCAGCUUACUACACAGUAAUUGACACUGAGGCACGAAAGCGUGGGGAUCAAACAGG